GUGAGGAAUAUUGCGCAAUGGAGGCAACUCUGACGCAGCCAUGCCGCGUGCAGGAAGAAGGCGCUACGCGUUGUAAACUGCUUUUAACCGGGAAGAAACCCCAGGACGUGUCCUGGGUUGACGGUACCGGAGGAAUAAGCACCGGCUAACUUCGUGCCAGCAGCCGCGGUAAUACGAAGGGUGCAAGCGUUAUCCGGAUUCAUUGGGUUUAAAGGGUGCGUAGGCGGAGCGUUAAGUCAGUGGUGAAAUCCUGCAGCUUAACUGUAGACUUGCCAUUGAUACUGGCGCUCUUGAGUGCGCUUGAAGUGGGCGGAAUGUGCCGUGUAGCGGUGAAAUGCUUAGAUAUGGCACAGAACACCAAUUGCGAAGGCAGCUCACUAAGGCGAUACUGACGCUGAGGCACGAAAGCGUGGGGAUCGAACAGGAUUAGAAACCCCGGUGUCC
This 444-nucleotide ribosomal RNA is filed under the name uncultured bacterium. Its description in RNAcentral is "partial 16S ribosomal RNA". It matches the Rfam family "Bacterial small subunit ribosomal RNA", at positions 354 to 796 of the family's 1533-position model. The record is from RNAcentral.